This 383-nucleotide ribosomal RNA is filed under the name uncultured eukaryote. Its description in RNAcentral is "partial 18S ribosomal RNA". It matches the Rfam family "Eukaryotic small subunit ribosomal RNA", at positions 592 to 975 of the family's 1831-position model. The record is from RNAcentral.
CAAUAGCGUAUAUUAAAGUUGUUGCGGUUAAAAAGCUCGUAGUUGGAUCUCGGCGAGCAGGGGGCGGUUCGAUGUUCGUCGUUACUGCCCCAUUUGCUCGUGUGAUUGGCGGAGGCUGCGGGGCGCUCUUCGUUGAGUGUCCCGUGGUGCCGUCGGGUUUACUUUGAAAAAAUUAGAGUGCUCAAAGCAGGCUUCACACGCUUGAAUAUUCGUGCAUGGAAUAAUGGAAUAGGAACUCGUUUCUAUUUUGUUGGUUUUCGGAAAUUGAGUUAAUGAUUAAUAGGGACAAUUGGGGGCAUUAGUAUUCAGACGACAGAGGUGAAAUUCUUGGACCGUCUGAAGACUAACUACUGCGAAAGCAUUUGCCAAGAGUGUUUUCAUUA